Molecule: ribosomal RNA, 497 nt
Filed under: uncultured bacterium
Lineage: Bacteria
Description: partial 16S ribosomal RNA
Rfam family: Bacterial small subunit ribosomal RNA
Source: RNAcentral
GAUGAACGCUGGCGGCGUGCCUAAUACAUGCAAGUCGAGCGAACAGACGAGGAGCUUGCUCCUCUGACGUUAGCGGCGGACGGGUGAGUAACACGUGGAUAACCUACCUAUAAGACUGGGAUAACUUCGGGAAACCGGAGCUAAUACCGGAUAAUAUAUUGAACCGCAUGGUUCAAUAGUGAAGGACGGUUUUGCUGUCACUUAUAGAUGGAUCCGCGCCGCAUUAGCUAGUUGGUAAGGUAACAGCUUACCAAGGCAACGAUGCGUAGCCGACCUGAGAGGGUGAUCGGCCACCCUGGAACUGAGACACGGUCCAGACUCCUACGGGAGGCAGCAGUAGGGAAUCUUCCGCAAUGGGCGAAAGCCUGACGGAGCAACGCCGCGUGAGUGAUGAAGGUCUUCGGAUCGUAAAACUCUGUUAUUAGGGAAGAACAAAUGUGUAAGUAACUAUGCACGUCUUGACGGUACCUAAUCAGAAAGCCACGGCUAACUACGUG